This is a non-coding RNA of Punica granatum (pomegranate), 656 nucleotides long. The record is from RefSeq and is a predicted model, not a curated record. Lineage: Eukaryota; Viridiplantae; Streptophyta; Magnoliopsida; Myrtales; Lythraceae.
AUCUCAUAUGCUCUUCUUGUCUCUCUAUGCCAAAAAGCACAGAUUUAGGCACCAACCUUAUCAGCUUUCAUGUGCUUUAGCCCUUUUCGUCAAGAACAGUUAAUUCGUGUCUUUGAUCAUUGCCUUGAAAUGUGCAGGCUUGUGGACCUGCAACCUCAGCCCCACUGGCAUAACUUAUCCAUGGGGCCAUCCCCGUCCCCGCAAGUGUUUGGGCCGAAAAGACAGAGCAGAUCCACAAAAGGGUACAAAGCUGGCCUGUAGACCCCUCGGCGGGCUCCACCGUCCUCCUCCUUGGCUAUAGCCAGGCAAUAAGCGGGCCCUCUUAAGUCUUAGAGGAACAAGAUGUACAAGGUGAUUAAUUGAAAUGCCAUGGUUGAAUAGUUGCAUUGAUAUGAACUUGCCUUCGAGAAGCUGAGACUCCAGUUUAAGGUCUUAAUGCAACGAUUAAUGAGUCAGUUGUGAGACCUGUACUGGAUCAGUUUGACGCGUCUCUUUAUAGGCCAUAAAAGUUGUGCUAUUGCACUUGAAACUUCGUUCUUUGUUCCCGACAUUUCUUGGUGCAAGUGCUCGUGGACACAGGUCUCUUCUGUUAUUGUUCGAUUAGCUCAUAGGGUGACUUGAUAUUUCUUUUAUCCGCGAUGAAAAUUCUGCUCCAA